AUACUUACCUGGUGCCGGGGCCUCAUUGAUCACCGAAGACGAGCCCCCAGGUCGAGGCGCGGGCAUUGCACUGCGCUCGCGUUGACUCUUGCCGUUACCCCAAACUGGGGCAGAUGGGGCAUGUAAAUUGCUGAAAC
RNAcentral lists this small nuclear RNA (137 nucleotides) under Haemaphysalis longicornis (longhorned tick). RNAcentral describes it as "U1 spliceosomal RNA". It matches the Rfam family "U1 spliceosomal RNA". From Rfam's summary of the family: U1 is a small nuclear RNA (snRNA) component of the spliceosome (involved in pre-mRNA splicing). Its 5' end forms complementary base pairs with the 5' splice junction, thus defining the 5' donor site of an intron. Lineage: Eukaryota; Metazoa; Arthropoda; Arachnida; Ixodida; Ixodidae. The record is from Rfam by way of RNAcentral.